UACAGAGGGGGCAAGCGUUGUUCGGAAUUACUGGGCGUAAAGGGCGCGUAGGCGGCCUUCUAAGUCGAACGUGAAAGCCCUCGGCUUAACCGAGGAACUGCCUGUCAGACUGGAUGGCUUGAGACCGGGAGAGGUGAGUGGAAUUCCCAGUGUAGCGGUGAAAUGCGUAGAUAUUGGGAGGAACACCAGUGGCGAAGGCGGCUUACUGGUCCGGUUCUGACGCUGAGGCGCGAAAGCGUGGGGAGCAAACAGG
Molecule: ribosomal RNA, 253 nt
Filed under: uncultured bacterium
Lineage: Bacteria
Description: partial 16S ribosomal RNA
Rfam family: Bacterial small subunit ribosomal RNA
Source: RNAcentral